This 495-nucleotide long non-coding RNA is filed under the name Bos taurus (domestic cattle). Its description in RNAcentral is "long non-coding RNA NONBTAT018384". Lineage: Eukaryota; Metazoa; Chordata; Mammalia; Artiodactyla; Bovidae. The record is from RNAcentral.
GUAAAGAGUUAACAAAUGUAAAAUACCUUAUUCAGUGAAAUACUGAAAUAAACUGAAAUACUUCAACUGAAAGUCAAUUUAAGUCACCUUUAUUAACAUUUUCUUUAAGGGAUUAAAACUGGUAAGAUCCAUAGCUGUAUCUCAGAUAUGAUCUUCACAAGUUAAAAUCUUCAAAACACAGUAUAGAAGUAUAUCUAGGUAAAGAUGAGAAGGAAGUUUCUUCGUGCCCUCAGGCUUCUACAAAAAUCUAUGUUUGAAUAAUGGAUGUAUUUAUCUUGUGUUUUUUUUUUUUUAAGCAAAACAACCAUUGAGAAACAGGUUUAGUGACUUUGGCUUAUGUCAACUAAACUCAGUUCACUUACUGGACCUAUUUGAAGGCUAAUGACUAUCAGAAGUACUAUGACUUCUCAACUCAAAAGCAUUAUAAAGUGUACCAAAUGCUGAUACAGUGUAAUGAAAGAAGAGCCUUCAGAAUACCUUAAGGAGCUCCUGAAA